CACAGGGAUUGUUCUGUGGAACAUUGAAGUUUAAACAUUAUUAUGGAGACGCUUUUUACAGAUUGCUAUUCCGAUGGUGGAAACAUUUUCAUCAUCUAUCAUCUCUAUCUUAAAUGAGGUAUAAUCAUAGAACUAUAAAGGAGGAAUAUUUAUUGUGUGAAAUAAAGUGUAAAUGACUAUUAUGUUAUCCUGGUAAAUGACCAGG
Molecule: long non-coding RNA, 205 nt
Filed under: Mytilus galloprovincialis (Mediterranean mussel)
Lineage: Eukaryota; Metazoa; Mollusca; Bivalvia; Mytilida; Mytilidae
Source: RNAcentral